AUGGCUGGUAAUGCUGAGCUCUUUCUGGAUAGGACAGAGGUACAAUAUUUACAUCCAUGGCAGAAGGUUCUUAAGCCUGAACUCAUCAAAGGUCCUUGGACUCAAGAGGAAGAUGACAAAAUUAUUGAUCUUGUAAGCAAGUAUGGACCAACAAAAUGGUCUCAUUGCAAGGACCUGCAGAAGGACCCUCCCACCUCAGCGCAGGUCCUGUAG
This 213-nucleotide ribosomal RNA is filed under the name Triticum aestivum (bread wheat). RNAcentral's name for it is "partial small subunit ribosomal RNA". The record is from RNAcentral. Lineage: Eukaryota; Viridiplantae; Streptophyta; Magnoliopsida; Poales; Poaceae.